Molecule: ribosomal RNA, 486 nt
Filed under: uncultured bacterium
Lineage: Bacteria
Description: bacterial SSU rRNA
Rfam family: Bacterial small subunit ribosomal RNA
Source: RNAcentral
AGGGUUCGAUUCUGGCUCAGAUUGAACGCUGGCGGCAGGCCUAAUACAUGCAAGUCGAACGGUAACAUAGGAAAAGCUUGCUUUUCCUGAUGACGAGUGGCGGACGGGUGAGUAAAGUUUGGGAAGCUACCUGAUAGAGGGGGACAACAGUUGGAAACGACUGCUAAUACCGCAUACAGCCUGAGGGUGAAAGCAGCAAUGCGCUAUCAGAUGCGCCCAAAUGGGAUUAGCUAGUAGGUGAGGUAAAGGCUCACCUAGGCGACGAUCUCUAGCUGGUCUGAGAGGAUGAUCAGCCACAUUGGGACUGAGACACGGCCCAGACUCCUACGGGAGGCAGCAGUAGGGAAUAUUGCACAAUGGAGGAAACUCUGAUGCAGCCAUGCCGCGUGUGUGAAGAAGGCCUUCGGGUUGUAAAGCACUUUCGGAGGGGAGGAGAAUGACGUUACCCUCAGAAGAAGCACCGGCUAACUCCGUGCCAGCCGCCGC